This is a long non-coding RNA of Pseudomyrmex gracilis, 744 nucleotides long. RefSeq lists it as uncharacterized. The transcript has 6 exons. NCBI's taxonomy places the organism in Eukaryota, Metazoa, Arthropoda, Insecta, Hymenoptera, Formicidae. The record is from RefSeq and is a predicted model, not a curated record.
GGAACGCAGCCAUAGACGUCUAAUGCAUAUCCAUACUACGUCCACUAUAGAUAUUUAUAUGAUAUCUAAUAUUAACAUCUAUUAGACCUCUGUGCGACAUUUAUUUCCAUGAUGAAUGACCGAUAGUUUAUAUAAAAUUCAUUACGAACAUUGGCUGCGUUCAGCAGAACUCAGCGCUUAGCAAGCGCUUUGCUAUUUUUACUUGCUAUUGGCUUGUACUCUCAUAGUUUCAAUAGAUCUACAAGAAAAGGCCAAUCACAGACAAUAAGCGCAAAGCGCUUGCCAAGCGCUGAGUUCUGCUGAACGCAGUCAUUGCCAGAGAAGAUGACAUACAGCUGCACCAAUCUUUUUGGAAAAAUCUCAGUGACACUCUGUGUACAGGUUAUGUGCUGGUGACAGGUAAAGAUUUGGUAUGCUGACUUGGAGAAAUAACAGUCAGAUAAGUAAUAAUGUGUUUCUUGGAUCUCUGCGUGCGAAAGAACCUAACUGAGUAAAAACUUUGAUUCUUUAAUGUGUAUUUUUCUUUAUUUUUACUGGUGAGGUUGCAGCUGUCAGGUAUACGCACUCAAUGCACUACUAGCAAAGUGAGGAGCUGUCAACUACCCAGGACUUUGCACAGCUGUCACUAUGUAAAGAUAUUGUAAUAUACAGGUACAACAGACUACACAGAAGGUGCAUACUACUGUCACUGCAUGAGACUCAGCACUGGAUAUAAAGAUAUGGAAAUCAAUAAUAAAGAGAUAA